ACAGCUCCCAACAAUGGUCCCGUCGUUCACGGUUCUAAGAGCUGUUUCAUUUGCGACCUACACAUCACUAGUGUACAGGAGGAGCACGGUUUCCUCUCAGAAUAUUUAGUUUAAGUUUGCAGCUCUCAGCAGAAGCCAACUUCAGCACCCAAGAUGAAGACCUACUUGCCAAAAUUUGCCAUCAAAAAAUACAGCACGUAUGUCGCAAUGACUGUGAUUUUUGUUCACAAUUAUGUGCUUGACAAGGAUUUAAACUGUACUUGUGAUGCUGAGGGAUCCUGCAAUUCAUACAUGUGUCUACCUUUUUUUAUUUUAUUUGCUUUACAACUCUGGACCGACGAGCUUUUCAAGAGAGUCUGGAAAUACUCAUGUCGAAGCCCUAUUUGCUGCAAUUUUUUUGUGUUUUUUUGCAUUCACUUUAUGAAAGCAGUUUGCAUUGGUCUGCUUUGGGUAGUGUCUGUGUUCAUUGAAGGAGACUGGUUUGUUUGCUGUUGGAAUACAUACAAAGAACAUCCACAGUUAGGCUGCAAAGACAAAAAAAACAUCACAGCUGAGGAGCAAGUCCUGAUUGCUAAGCUGAAAAACAAAUCCAUGGUAGGACUUCAUUAGCUGAUGCACACCAGAUUAUUGGCUUGGGUAUACUCUUGGCUGGCUUUUUGGUGGUUAGCCUUGUGUUGCCACUUGGAUGGAAGAAAUGCUGUGAAAAGAACAAGAAAUGCUCAAGUUGCUGUGACAGAAAACUGCUAUAUGACCAAAUGAUUUUGGAGGAGGAAGAAAAUGUACUCACAGAGAUGAUAAGAAAAGCAGCAAAAGAUAAGCUGUCAGAAGAAAUACAGAAAACACUCAACAGUGAACGUUGGGGGGAAUCUUUUGAUGUUGCUGAUCAUCUGAUUACAAGCAGAACUCCACCAGGACGCAGGGAAGACAGUUCUAUGGAAAAUCGGCAGCCAGAGGGGGGCCCCCUAAAGGAUGAGCAUGUUUGACAAAGAUGCACAACAACAAUGUGAGGAAAGUAUCGCCACUGCCAUUCUUAUCAGAAUUCAAGUUUCAUUUUCAGUUUAUAACAAAAAA
Molecule: long non-coding RNA, 1071 nt
Organism: Oreochromis aureus
Lineage: Eukaryota; Metazoa; Chordata; Actinopteri; Cichliformes; Cichlidae
Exons: 5
Source: RefSeq, a predicted model, not a curated record